UUCAUUUAUAUGCAAUAUUUUUUAUUUUAAUGGUAUAAUUUUUCAUUCAAAUGGUAUAAUUUGUCAUUCAAAUGCAAUAUUUUUUAUUCAAUUUGUAUAACUUGUCAUUGUAAUGCAAUAUUUUUCAUUCAAUUGGUAUAAUUGUCGUUUUUUUAUUUAUAUGCAAUAAUUUUUAUUUAUAUGCAAUAAUUGCAUUAUGGGAAAUUGUUUGACGUCACAAGGUCAAAUUUGCAACAACGUUUGUGAUUGGUCGAUAUAGUCGGGCAGCCCCUGCUUGACUCACAUGUUGAAGUUGGCACGUUCUCUAUGAACUCCCCUGGUUUGAUUAGCUGUUGAUAUCUAUAUAUGAGAAGGUUUAUAUGAUGUCAGGUCAUAUAAAGGUUUCACAUAGUGAACUUUGUUAUGAUGCUGAGGUCUUAUUGCCACUUAAAGAAGAUGUUUUGGAGAGGGAGACACUCAAAUCACAGUUUCCUUCAGCAGUGGGUUUGAGGUACCAUGUAGGAGGGGUGUUGAAAGCUGUUGCAGCUGAUACAAGAGGGUUUUCUUCUCCAGAUGGAGGUUGGGGAACAAGAAGAUAUAUUGUUGUAACAACAGCAGAAUGUGCUGGACAAGCAAGAGAUAUCAUUGGCAACAGGCCAAGUACAAGUGGAUU
This is a long non-coding RNA of Mytilus trossulus (common blue mussel), 652 nucleotides long. RefSeq lists it as uncharacterized. The record is from RefSeq and is a predicted model, not a curated record. The transcript has 3 exons. Lineage: Eukaryota; Metazoa; Mollusca; Bivalvia; Mytilida; Mytilidae.